GCAGACGUCGCUUAGCCUGGUAUAGCGCCGGAUUUGAAAUCCGGUGUCCCUUGGACUCGGGAGUUCAAAUCUCUCCGUCUGCGCCA
RNAcentral lists this transfer RNA (86 nucleotides) under bacterium. RNAcentral's name for it is "tRNA-Ser". It matches the Rfam family "tRNA". Rfam says of the family: Transfer RNA (tRNA) molecules are approximately 80 nucleotides in length. Their secondary structure includes four short double-helical elements and three loops (D, anti-codon, and T loops). RNAcentral also lists the same sequence under 5 other names. The record is from RNAcentral.